UGCUUGGCUUUGGUGUCUCGAGACUCAUC
This 29-nucleotide non-coding RNA is filed under the name Mus musculus (house mouse). Lineage: Eukaryota; Metazoa; Chordata; Mammalia; Rodentia; Muridae. The record is from RNAcentral.